Long non-coding RNA from Gossypium arboreum, 679 nucleotides. RefSeq lists it as uncharacterized. The transcript is spliced from 2 exons. Lineage: Eukaryota; Viridiplantae; Streptophyta; Magnoliopsida; Malvales; Malvaceae. The record is from RefSeq and is a predicted model, not a curated record.
CCUGUUAUCAAUUGGAUCGGGUCGCGGGUCUAGCACCAAACGGUGCCGUUUUUGCGUUGAAAGCAUCCUCCCAAUACGGUGCCGUUUUAUGCACCUAUUUAAGCCACCUUUUUUAAAAAAAAAAUCAUCACUUCCGCCAAAUUUCUAAAAAAUGUAGAAGCUCUUUUGUUUUUCUCCGCUGGGGUCUUAAGUCCGGCCACAGGGGACCGUCGCAGUCCAUCGCCGGUGGCCGGAGGUACGAAGAUGGCGCCUAUUCGACCCCUUUUGCUCCCCUCGUUCCAAAUCUGAGCCUCAAACAACAAAAAGACCCACAACCGUUGCGAAAAACCGAGAAAACCAUUCGGUUUCCAUCUUUCCGAUCGCCCAAAAAAAGAUGAUGGGAUGAUGGGACGGAGGCAGUGCAAGUGGAGGCAAGUGGCCCUAGGGUUUGCUGCUUCUUUUUUUUUUUGUUUGGGCUUGUUUGUAAUCGGGUCUGGGUCUUUGGGGUUAGUUUUGGGCUUGGGUAUAUUAGGCUGAUUUAGGCCCGGUCAAAUUUGGACCGGUACAGCUAGGAUUGAGCUUCUACACUAAUCUAAUUACUAUGGAUUAAUUACCACCAUAAUCCUUUGCAGAAUAUCAACUUUGGUCCUUCACUUUACACAUUAAUGACAAUUCAUUAUCUCACUUUUAUUCCUUCUAA